GCGCGAGGAGCGAGCCGCUUCUCCCCAUCACAGCGAUUCCCAGGGUUGUCAUAGAAACCACUCCCUGGGGCUUGGCAAAGCAGGAGCCCUCCGUGGCAGGGCUUCGGUGUCGGGGCUCCGAGGCUCCGGCCUGACUUCUCCACGGGGUCCACAGGAGCGUCUCCGGAUGCCAGGACCUGAAAUGGGCCGACCAGGAUGAGGAAACCACAGGCAGAGGCCGGGGAAGCAGCGCGGCAUCCCAUCCUCAGGCCUGCCCGGACGGUGUUCGGGAUCAAGAGGACCACACUCCAGCCCAGGACAAAAGCCCCACGGUAGCACAUUGUCCGGCAGGAGAGGAGCAGACCCACGUCCAAGAAGAUGGUUGUACCUUUCCACGCCUCUUCUCUGCGAAAUGAAGCCACACCAUGACACAAUCUUGAAGAGGAAGCCGGGAAUGGGAGACGGCAACAAUCCCUGUCCCUGGAACGCUGGCCUCUAUGGACAAGCCACCCGCUUCGCACCCCUCCCCUUAUGCCCGUGGCGGUGGCACGGCGCCGUAUCCUGCCUGGGCUCUGGCCUCUGCUCUGUCCUCCCUCUUCCACUGUCUCCCCUGUUUCUCAGCGGCCUAGAUGCCUCUUGGUCUGGCUGAAUAUCUUCUAUGAAGAUCACUUCCCCGUCCAUCAGGGAGACAAUUCCUGGAGAUUCGUGUCAUGACUGUUUCUCUCUCCAAACCUGUUUCUGCUGGAUUGCGCAGGUCUGAUGACCCUGGAGCUCUUGGCUUCCAUACGUGUCUCAGACAGAAUCAUCUCCCCUGCCCCACAAACAUGAAAGAAAAGACAAGAGAAGCACCCCAGAAGAGGAGGGGAGAAGUGCCCCAGAAAAAAUCAUCCAGUCUCUGAAGCUUUGCCCAGGAUCCAUUGCUGCAGCUUCCUGAAGUUGUGUCCGUUAAAAGGCAGGGACCCGGUGUCCAGGCUACAGAGGGUGACUCCAGGUUCCACACCACCACUGUGGACCAGUGUGCCUAUGGACUUAGGAGAGUUCCCAGAUCGCACAAGGGGGCUGCCCCAGAGGGUGUUCAGCUUGUUGCCAACAGUUGCUGAAGCCAAAGUCUGCAACCUUGAUGUUCAGGUCAAGUAGCCAGAAACAGGUGUUCUGGCUUUAGGUCCCUGUGGACAAUGCCAUUCUCUCCUUCCCAGGCUACUGAUGUCCUGGGUUGCUCCUCUUAUGGUAGAAGCUCAAGAUGGAAUGGCUGGAGCUUGGCUGCCUCCGGUUAGAGCCUGGGCUCUGUAUUGCAGACAUCACCUGGCAGAAUUCCUCAUGGGCCCCUUUUGUCGUGGGUGCGACUGCUGGGCCAGGGUUGUCGUGGGUAGUAAAGGUAUUUACCAAGACAACCGUGAGUAAAGAAAGGCAAAUUUAUUACAGAAACUAUGAAAAUACAUUGCAAGAAUGCAACAUGCAGCACAGCAGAGAAGGGGCUGUCUGCAAAGAUAAAGGGCUGGAGGGAAGUUUUCUAAGGUUGUGCUGGACGGCGCUAUGUGCAGGUGAGCUUGUGCUAUAUGCUAAGAAUAUGUUGGAAUAAUUUUAACUGCCAGACCUUUCCUCUUCUGGUGCCCGAGGGAAACGCCCUGCUGCUUUUAGCUGUCUUGUAACCCACACGCCUUUUCACUUCUGAAGUUGCAAGAAUAACGGCUGUGGUUUUUCACACAAAAGGGUUGCAGACUGGGUUAGGUCCCUGUUCCGCCAACCUGGCUGUUUCCCAGUUUCAGUUAACUUAGUGGUUUACUAGAGCCCCACACCUUUCUCUUUCAUAUGGCCAUGAUCCAGGAGGUAAUCCGUCACCUCCCCUCCACUAGAGUGCUCCAUGGCCAGGGAUAAUCCGUCACCUCCCCUCCACCAGAGUGCUCCAUGGCCAGGGGUAAUCCUCACCUCUCCUCCGCUAGAGUGUUCCAUGGCCAGGCAGUGUUUCCUGGGUCCAGAGCACCUCAAACAAUUUCAGUGUUGUGGUGACUCAGGGCCUUCACCAUACAGACUUGACAGCAUAGUCUAGAGGCUGGAGGGGCUCUGUGACUCCCAUUAAUGACAGUCACUGCCACGGUUUCCCCAGGCAGGAUGUGCCAGGAGAACUGCUCCAUGUUGGCUCAGCAGAAUGUUAUUAUAGGUAGCUCAAAAAGAGAGGGAACAGGGCUUCUCUAGAUUAUUUCAGGGAACGAGCUAUUAUUUGAAUGUUAAUUUAAGACUAUUUUAUCAAUUAAAAAUGUAAGGCCCAAGAAACUUCAGUGAGGAAGAAUGAACAAAUUGAAUAAAUACUGUUAAACUUU
RNAcentral lists this long non-coding RNA (2297 nucleotides) under Homo sapiens (human). Its description in RNAcentral is "HSALNT0389063". The record is from RNAcentral. Lineage: Eukaryota; Metazoa; Chordata; Mammalia; Primates; Hominidae.